UCCUACGGGCGGCAGCAGUGGGGAAUUUUGGACAAUGGGGGCAACCCUGAUCCAGCCAUGCCGCGUGUGUGAAGAAGGCCUUCGGGUUGUAAAGCACUUUCGGACGGAACGAAAUCGCGCGGGUGAAUAUCCCGCGUGGAUGACGGUACUGUAAGAAGAAGCACCGGCUAACUACGUGCCAGCAGCCGCGGUAAUACGUAGGGUGCGAGCGUUAAUCGGAAUUACUGGGCGUAAAGCGUGCGCAGGCGGCUUCGCAAGUCAGACGUGAAAUCCACGGGCUUAACCUGGGAAUGGCGUUUGAAACUACGGAGCUGGAGUGUGGCAGAGGGAGGUAGAAUUCCACGGGUAGCGGUGAAAUGCGUAGAUAUGUGGAGGAAUACCGAUGGCGAAGGCAGCCUCCUGGGCCAACACUGACGCUCAUGCACGAAAGCGUGGGGAGCAAACAGGAUUAGAUACCCCAGUAGUC
This 466-nucleotide ribosomal RNA is filed under the name uncultured bacterium. RNAcentral describes it as "bacterial SSU rRNA". It matches the Rfam family "Bacterial small subunit ribosomal RNA", at positions 337 to 795 of the family's 1533-position model. The record is from RNAcentral.